RNAcentral lists this ribosomal RNA (229 nucleotides) under uncultured bacterium. Its description in RNAcentral is "partial 16S ribosomal RNA". It matches the Rfam family "Bacterial small subunit ribosomal RNA", at positions 568 to 796 of the family's 1533-position model. The record is from RNAcentral.
UCCGUAGGCGGGCAGCUAAGUCAGUGGUGAAAGUCUGCAGCUCAACUGUAGAAUUGCCAUUGAUACUGGUUGUCUUGAAUUAUUAUGAAGUGGUUAGAAUAUGUAGUGUAGCGGUGAAAUGCAUAGAUAUUACAUAGAAUACCAAUUGCGAAGGCAGAUCACUAAUAAUAUAUUGACGCUGAUGGACGGAAGCGUGGGGAGCGAACAGGAUUAGAUACCAUGGUAGUCC